CCUACGGGAGGCAGCAGUGAGGAAUAUUGGUCAAUGGACGCAAGUCUGAACCAACCAUGCCGCGUGCAGGAAGACGGCUCUAUGAGUUGUAACCUGCUUUUGUACGAGGGUAAACGCAGAUACGCGUAUCUGUCUGAAAGUAUCGUACGAAUAAGGAUCGGCUAACUCCGUGCCAGCAGCCGCGGUAAUACGGAGGAUUCAAGCGUUAUCCGGAUUUAUUGGGUUUAAAGGGUGCGUAGGCGGUCGGAUAAGUUAGAGGUGAAAUCCCGAGGCUCAACUUCGGAAUUGCCUCUGAUACUGUUCGGCUAGAGAGUAGUUGUGGUAGGCGGAAUGUAUGGUGUAGCGGUGAAAUGCUUAGAGAUCAUACAGAACACCGAUUGCGAAGGCAGCUUACCAAGCUACUUCUGACGUUGAGGCACGAAAGCGUGGGGAGCAAACAGGAUUAGAUACCCGUGUAGUC
Molecule: ribosomal RNA, 460 nt
Filed under: uncultured bacterium
Lineage: Bacteria
Description: partial 16S ribosomal RNA
Rfam family: Bacterial small subunit ribosomal RNA
Source: RNAcentral